RNAcentral lists this ribosomal RNA (319 nucleotides) under uncultured Pseudomonadota bacterium. Its description in RNAcentral is "bacterial SSU rRNA". It matches the Rfam family "Bacterial small subunit ribosomal RNA", at positions 30 to 351 of the family's 1533-position model. The record is from RNAcentral. Lineage: Bacteria; Pseudomonadati; Pseudomonadota.
AUUGAACGCUGGCGGCAUGCCUUACACAUGCAAGUCGAACGGUAACGCGGGGCAACCUGGCGACGAGUGGCGAACGGGUGAGUAAUGCAUCGGAACGUGCCCAGUAGUGGGGGAUAGCCCGGCGAAAGCCGGAUUAAUACCGCAUACGACCUAUGGGUGAAAGCGGGGGACCGUAAGGCCUCGCGCUAUUGGAGCGGCCGAUGUCAGAUUAGGUUGUUGGUGGGGUAAAGGCCUACCAAGCCGACGAUCUGUAGCUGGUCUGAGAGGACGACCAGCCACACUGGGACUGAGACACGGCCCAGACUCCUACGGGUGGCAG